GAUGAACGCUAGCGGCAGGCUUAACACAUGCAAGUCGAGGGGCAGCAUAAUGGUAGUAAUACUAUUGAUGGCGACCGGCGGACGGGUGCGUAACGCGUAUGCAACCUACCCUUUACAGGGGGAUAACACUGAGAAAUCGGUACUAAUACCCCAUAAUAUUCUGGGAGGCAUCUUUCGGAGUUGAAAGCUUUGGUGGUAAAGGAUGGGCAUGCGUUGUAUUAGCUAGUUGAUAAGGUAACGGCUUACCAAGGCGACGAUACAUAGGGGGACUGAGAGGUUAACCCCCCACAUUGGUACUGAGACACGGACCAAACUCCUACGGGAGGCAGCAGUGAGGAAUAUUGGUCAAUGGACGGAAGUCUGAACCAGCCAUGCCGCGUGCAGGAAGACGGCUCUAUGAGUUGUAAACUGCUUUUGUACGAGGGUAAACGCAGAUACGUGUAUCUGCCUGAAAGUAUCGUACGAAUAAGGAUCGGCUAACUCCGUGCCAGCAGCCGCGGUAAUACGGAGGAUCCAAGCGUUAUCCGGAUUUAUUGGGUUUAAAGGGUGCGUAGGCGGUUUAGUAAGUCAGCGGUGAAAUUUUGGUGCUUAACACCAAACGUGCCGUUGAUACUGCUGGGCUAGAGAGUAGUUGCGGUAGGCGGAAUGUAUGGUGUAGCGGUGAAAUGCUUAGAGAUCAUACAGAACACCGAUUGCGAAGGCAGCUUACCAAACUAUAUCUGACGUUGAGGCACGAAAGCGUGGGGAGCAAACAGGAUUAGAUACCCUGGUAGUCCACGCAGUAAACGAUGAUAGCUCGUUGUCGGCGAUACACAGUCGGUGACUAAGAGAAAUCGAUAAGCUAUCCACCUGGGGAGUACGUUCGCAAGAAUGAAACUCAAAGGAAUUGACGGGGGCCCGCACAAGCGGAGGAACAUGUGGUUUAAUUCGAUGAUACGCGAGGAACCUUACCCGGGCUUGAAAGUUACUGACGAUUCUGGAAACAGGAUUUCCCUUCGGGGCAGGAAACUAGGUGCUGCAUGGUUGUCGUCAGCUCGUGCCGUGAGGUGUCGGGUUAAGUCCCAUAACGAGCGCAACCCCUACUGAUAGUUGCCAUCAGA
Molecule: ribosomal RNA, 1100 nt
Filed under: uncultured bacterium
Lineage: Bacteria
Description: bacterial SSU rRNA
Rfam family: Bacterial small subunit ribosomal RNA
Source: RNAcentral